AUUAAAAGAGCUUCAUACUUUUUAAAAAAUAUCUGUAAUCUAUUUCAGCUGUUCCAAAACUUCUCCAUUCCUCAGGUGCACCAUGGCCGACUGACUUCCUUCUGACACGACGUCUGGACUUCAAACGAUACUCUAUCUAUAAAAUUGCCCAACCUUUACAUGCUCAGUAACAAAAGAACAGGCUCAAUUGCUAAGCAUCUGAAAUCUGAGCAGCGGAAUUUUCAAUUCAGACAUCCGCUCGGUAGCACAGCAGAACGCGAAUUGUUGGUGUUGAGGCACCUCAUAAAUAACCUGAUAUUUCAACCUGGACAGGAUUACAGGCAUUG
RNAcentral lists this long non-coding RNA (326 nucleotides) under Elaeis guineensis (African oil palm). RNAcentral's name for it is "long non-coding RNA (EGUI_LNC029750)". Lineage: Eukaryota; Viridiplantae; Streptophyta; Magnoliopsida; Arecales; Arecaceae. The record is from RNAcentral.